This 429-nucleotide ribosomal RNA is filed under the name uncultured bacterium. RNAcentral describes it as "bacterial SSU rRNA". It matches the Rfam family "Bacterial small subunit ribosomal RNA", at positions 355 to 775 of the family's 1533-position model. The record is from RNAcentral.
UGGGGAAUAUUGGGCAAUGGGCGAAAGCCUGACCCAGCGACGCCGCGUGGGUGAUGAAGGCCUUCGGGUUGUAAAGCCCUGUCAUGCGGAAAGAACGACCCUGUGACGCAUACUCAUAGGGAGUGACGGUACCGCAGGAGGAAGCACCGGCUAACUCCGUGCCAGCAGCCGCGGUAAUACGGAGGGUGCAAGCGUUGUUCGGAAUUAUUGGGCGUAAAGGGCGCGUAGGCGGUAAUGUAAGUCAGAUGUGAAAUACUCCGGCUCAACCAGAGAACAGCAUCUGAAACCGCAUAACUAGAGUACAGAAGAGGGAAACGGAAUUCCCGGUGUAGAGGUGAAAUUCGUAGAUAUCGGGAGGAACACCAGUGGCGAAGGCGGUUUCCUGGUCUGAUACUGACGCUGAGGCGCGAAAGCGUGGGGAGCAAACAG